Molecule: long non-coding RNA, 466 nt
Organism: Lepidothrix coronata (blue-crowned manakin)
Lineage: Eukaryota; Metazoa; Chordata; Aves; Passeriformes; Pipridae
Exons: 3
Source: RefSeq, a predicted model, not a curated record
UGCCUGAUCAGGAGAUCUCAUAACCCUUCCAUCCUCUGUCCCAGACUGACAUCACAGACAUGAGCUGAUGCAAGAAGUGAAUAGAUGAACAGACACAGAAAGCUACGUUUACUUAAAUGUAGCUUUGUGUUCACCUACCUUCACACCAGAGCCAUGACACAUACUCUCCUCCAGCAAAAACUUAAAGCAAAUCUUUAGAAGAUUUUCCCAAAUCUUCUGCGGAAUUGUUCUUAUAGGAAAUACGGGGUGGCAAGAAACCCACAAGGUUAAAAUCAGAGCCACGGCAAGCAAAUCUCUCCCAUAUCUGCAAAACAAAACCAGAUUCAGGGUGACUAGAAAGAUGGACUAAGCUCAGAAUUUGUAACAAAACAAGAAGGAACAAAGCCUAAAGCAGCAGAUCCAGCAAAGCACUUAACCAAGGAGCUGAGCAAGGUCAUCUACAGAAGAAAUAAAGUACUUGGCUGGA